This 497-nucleotide ribosomal RNA is filed under the name uncultured bacterium. Its description in RNAcentral is "partial 16S ribosomal RNA". It matches the Rfam family "Bacterial small subunit ribosomal RNA", at positions 28 to 507 of the family's 1533-position model. The record is from RNAcentral.
GAUGAACGCUGGCGGCGUGCCUAAUACAUGCAAGUCGAGCGAACGGACGAGAAGCUUGCUUCUCUGAUGUUAGCGGCGGACGGGUGAGUAACACGUGGAUAACCUACCUAUAAGACUGGGAUAACUUCGGGAAACCGGAGCUAAUACCGGAUAAUAUUUUGAACCGCAUGGUUCAAAAGUGAAAGACGGUCUUGCUGUCACUUAUAGAUGGAUCCGCGCUGCAUUAGCUAGUUGGUAAGAUAACGGCUUACCAAGGCAACGAUGCAUAGCCGACCUGAGAGGGUGAUCGGCCACACUGGAACUGAGACACGGUCCAGACUCCUACGGGAGGCAGCAGUAGGGAAUCUUCCGCAAUGGGCGAAAGCCUGACGGAGCAACGCCGCGUGAGUGAUGAAGGUCUUCGGAUCGUAAAACUCUGUUAUUAGGGAAGAACAUAUGUGUAAGUAACUGUGCACAUCUUGACGGUACCUAAUCAGAAAGCCACGGCUAACUACGUG